UUCGGGAUGCUGACGAGCGGCGGACGGGUGAGUAAUGCAUAGGAAUCUACCCGGUAGUGGGGGAUAACCUGGGGAAACCCAGGCUAAUACCGCAUACGUCCUACGGGAGAAAGGGGGCUUUGGCUCCCGCUAUCGGAUGAGCCUAUGCCGGAUUAGCUGGUUGGUGAGGUAACGGCUCACCAAGGCGACGAUCCGUAGCUGGUCUGAGAGGAUGAUCAGCCACAUCGGGACUGAGACACGGCCCGAACUCCUACGGGAGGCAGCAGUGGGGAAUAUUGGACAAUGGGGGCAACCCUGAUCCAGCCAUGCCGCGUGUGUGAAGAAGGCCCUCGGGUUGUAAAGCACUUUCAGCGAGGAAGAACGCCUGGUGGUUAAUACCCGCCAGGAAAGACAUCACUCGCAGAAGAAGCACCGGCUAACUCCGUGCCAGCAGCCGCGGUAAUACGGAGGGUGCAAGCGUUAAUCGGAAUUACUGGGCGUAAAGCGCGCGUAGGUGGCUUGAUAAGCCGGUUGUGAAAGCCCCGGGCUCAACCUGGGAACGGCAUCCGGAACUAUCAGGCUAGAGUGCAGGAGAGGAAGGUAGAAUUCCCGGUGUAGCGGUGAAAUGCGUAGAGAUCGGGAGGAAUACCAGUGGCGAAGGCGGCCUUCUGGACUGACACUGACACUGAGGUGCGAAAGCGUGGGUAGCAAACAGGAUUAGAUACCCUGGUAGUCCACGCCGUAAACGAUGUCGACCAGCCGUUGGGUGCCUAGCGCACUUUGUGGCGAAGUUAACGCGAUAAGUCGACCGCCUGGGGAGUACGGCCGCAAGGUUAAAACUCAAAUGAAUUGACGGGGGCCCGCACAAGCGGUGGAGCAUGUGGUUUAAUUCGAUGCAACGCGAAGAACCUUACCUACCCUUGACAUCCUGCGAACGUGUGAGAGAU
RNAcentral lists this ribosomal RNA (926 nucleotides) under Halomonas sp. Its description in RNAcentral is "bacterial SSU rRNA". It matches the Rfam family "Bacterial small subunit ribosomal RNA", at positions 79 to 1007 of the family's 1533-position model. The record is from RNAcentral. Lineage: Bacteria; Pseudomonadati; Pseudomonadota; Gammaproteobacteria; Oceanospirillales; Halomonadaceae.